This is a long non-coding RNA of Daphnia pulicaria, 970 nucleotides long. RefSeq lists it as uncharacterized. The transcript has 3 exons. The record is from RefSeq and is a predicted model, not a curated record. NCBI's taxonomy places the organism in Eukaryota, Metazoa, Arthropoda, Branchiopoda, Diplostraca, Daphniidae.
ACCUUACGUCAUGUUGGCUGUCGUGAUUCUGGUUAAUUUCUUCGCAAAAUGGUAAUAUUUUUCAUCCUUCCAAGUAAAAUAUUGUUAGUGUCUUACAGUCUAUCAAGUGUUGUUGACUCAGUGAACAAUCAAAAUAGAGCUGAGUUUGUUGCUUUGUCAUUAUGCAAAGAUUCUUAUUUGGUUAGGGGAAAAGAUUCUACAAUCGAUGCAUAAUUUGCGUAUGGUGCUCAGUAAACAUAGUAUUUCUUUUCAAUUAUUUCUUAAGCAAAAUUAAGGUCACCCCUGUCUACCCUACAGGUUACUCAGGAAUACAAUUUGUGUUUACAAAACGUUCAGCUAGCUAACUUACAUCGUGGUUUACUAAUGAGAAACCUGCAAUUUUUCAGAAUGGUCUGUUUAGAAAAUUUGUUUCUGGCAAUUUUCAAGCUACUUAAUAUUUAUCUUUUUCAUCAAAUUGGAAACCCCACUAGAAAUGAAAACCACAUUUUCUUUUGACAUCUGAUUAACCGGCCAAAUGGAGGCCAUUGUCAGCAGUUUUAAUUUAGGUUGUUUUUAUCGAGCGUCAGUCCUCAGCCAAAUAUUAAUAUACCGUCUCAUCGACAUUGACGCCCAUUUCUGGAAACAAAGGCUGAUAAGCAAAGUUGGAAUCAACAGUUGGAACAGAAAUGGCGCAAUAAAACCCGACAUGAUACGUUUAGUACGCCUUGGAAGUUGUUGCACUGAUUUUAGUCAACAUUGAUGAUGUAUUGUGCCGGGGUGUGUUACCUGAAAAAUCACAAACUAUCCACUCGUCGAUCCGAGUGUAGCGCAUGCGAUGUCUGCGGUUUCCUUCCAUUCCGAUUCAACAAAUAAGUUUCCUGGUUUGCCAUUUUGUUGUUUCUCAUCUUUCGUUUCGUACAAGUUGUAUUCUUUUGCGCUUUUGCGCGUACAGAUGUAGACGAAAGGAUUUGGCGAAUAUAAGAAAUGAUGA